Molecule: ribosomal RNA, 459 nt
Filed under: uncultured bacterium
Lineage: Bacteria
Description: partial 16S ribosomal RNA
Rfam family: Bacterial small subunit ribosomal RNA
Source: RNAcentral
CCUACGGGCGGCAGCAGUGAGGAAUAUUGGUCACUGGGCGGGAGCCUGAACCAGCCAAGCCGCGUGAGGGAAGAAGGUACAGCGUAUCGUAAACCUCUUUUGUCAGGGAACAAAGGCGGGGACUAGUCCCCGGAUGAGGGUACCUGAAGAAAAAGCAUCGGCUAACUCCGUGCCAGCAGCCGCGGUAAUACGGAGGAUGCGAGCGUUAUCCGGAUUUAUGGGGUUUAAAGGGUGCGCAGGCGGCCUGUUAAGUCAGCGGUAAAAGUCCGGGGCUCAACCCCGGCGAGCCGUUGAAACUGGCGGGCUGGAGUGGGAGAGAAGUACGCGGAAGGCGCGGUGUAGCGGUGAAAUGCUUAGAUAUCGGGCAGAACCCCGAGUGCGAAGGCAGCGUACCGGCUCCACACUGACGCUGAGGCACGAAAGCGUGGGUAUCGAACAGGAUUAGAUACCCCAGUAGUC